This 488-nucleotide ribosomal RNA is filed under the name uncultured bacterium. RNAcentral's name for it is "partial 16S ribosomal RNA". It matches the Rfam family "Bacterial small subunit ribosomal RNA", at positions 28 to 507 of the family's 1533-position model. The record is from RNAcentral.
GACGAACGCUGGCGGCGUGCUUAACACAUGCAAGUCGAACGGCAAGGCCCUGCUUUUGUGGGGUGCUCGAGUGGCGAACGGGUGAGUAACACGUGAAUAACCUGACCUUGACUUUGGGAUGACUUCAGGAAACUGGGGCUAAUAUCGGAUAGGAGCUCCUGCUGCGUGGUGGGGGGUGGAAAGUUUCGGCGGUUGGGGAUGGACUGGCGGCGUAUUAGCUUGCUGGUGGGGUAGAGGCCCACCAAGGCGAUGACGGGUAGCUGGCCUGAGAGGGUGAUCGGCCACACGGGAACUGAGACACGGUCCAGACUCCUACGGGAGGCAGCAGUCGGGAAUAUUGGACAACGGGCGCAAGCAUGAUCCAGCCAUACCGCGUGGGUGAAGAAGGCCUUCGGGUUGUAAAGCCCUUCUGUUGGGAAAGAAAAGCAGCAGGUUAAUACCCCGCGGUUCUGACGGUACCCAAAGAAUAAGCACCGGCUAACUUCGUG